GACGAACGCUGGCGGCGUGCUUAACACAUGCAAGUCGAGCGAUGAAGCUCCUUCGGGAGUGGAUUAGCGGCGGACGGGUGAGUAACACGUGGGUAACCUGCCGCAUAGAGGGGAAUAGCCUUUCGAAAGGAAGAUUAAUACCGCAUAAGAUUGUAGCUUCGCAUGAAGCAGCAAUUAAAGGAGUAAUCCGCUAUGAGAUGGACCCGCGUCGCAUUAGCUAGUUGGUGAGGUAACGGCUCACCAAGGCGACGAUGCGUAGCCGACCUGAGAGGGUGAUCGGCCACAUUGGGACUGAGACACGGACCAGACUCCUACGGGAGGCAGCAGUGGGGAAUAUUGCACAAUGGGGGAAACCCUGAUGCAGCAACGCCGCGUGAGUGAUGACGGUCUUCGGAUUGUAAAGCUCUGUCUUCAGGGACGAUAAUGACGGUACCUGAGGAGGAAGCCACGGCUAACUACGUGCCAGCCGCCGCAGUAA
Molecule: ribosomal RNA, 478 nt
Filed under: uncultured bacterium
Lineage: Bacteria
Description: partial 16S ribosomal RNA
Rfam family: Bacterial small subunit ribosomal RNA
Source: RNAcentral